RNAcentral lists this small nuclear RNA (222 nucleotides) under Acanthamoeba castellanii str. Neff. RNAcentral's name for it is "U2 spliceosomal RNA". It matches the Rfam family "U2 spliceosomal RNA". Rfam says of the family: U2 is a small nuclear RNA (snRNA) component of the spliceosome (involved in pre-mRNA splicing). Complementary binding between U2 snRNA (in an area lying towards the 5' end but 3' to hairpin I) and the branchpoint sequence (BPS) of the intron results the bulging out of an unpaired adenosine, on the BPS, which initiates a nucleophilic attack at the intronic 5' splice site, thus starting the first of two transesterification reactions that mediate splicing. Lineage: Eukaryota; Discosea; Longamoebia; Acanthamoebidae. The record is from Rfam by way of RNAcentral.
AUAUCUUCUCGGCCCCAGUGGCUAAGAUCAUCUGAAGUAUCUGUUCUUAUCAGCUUAAUCUCUGGUAGUGAGGCCUCCCAUGUGCCUCACAACUCAAGAUUAGACUUAUUUCUUGUGGGCGCCCCUGGUACCACGCCCUCCAGCUAUGCUGUGGCAGUCCAGGGAGCAGCGAUCGGCUUCACACUUGCACUCUUGUGAAGUUCUUCAAACGGUCCACCCCUU